Chenopodium quinoa (quinoa) is the source of this 1730-nucleotide long non-coding RNA. RefSeq lists it as uncharacterized. The record is from RefSeq and is a predicted model, not a curated record. The transcript has 8 exons. Lineage: Eukaryota; Viridiplantae; Streptophyta; Magnoliopsida; Caryophyllales; Amaranthaceae.
ACAAAGUAGCCCAAGCAAACUUCCAGCCCAAUUCUAACAAAACCCCGUAUUCUUUCAUUAAUGUUUAAAAGCCUCAACUACAGUCUCUCUCCUCCGCGAUGAACUCAUCGACGAAAUCACGAAACAAAAUUUAUUAAUCAAAGAAUGAAAUUUUGCUGCAAUUGGUCGCAACAAAUCAAUUAAUGAAUUAGAAUCAAGCACAAAUAACAAUGAAGAAAGAAGCUCAGACUUUUUAUGGAAACAAGGAGAGAGAAAGCUAGAGAGAGAAAAUAUGUUUCCUUCAACAACAAUGGCGAUUAGCUCAAAAUUACCAUUGGAGCAGUUUCUGAGUAAUAAUUUACAAGGGCGGCGGCUUAACUAUCAGAAGAAUGGGGAGAUAUUCAGCUUCGACGUUUUCGUGAUAUGCCUACCACCACCGAUUUCCCCUCCGUCACAGCUUUUCGGUUUUCUUUUUUUGUCGAACAAGAAAAAGAGGAGACAUAUUGCGAUGAACGGCGGCAGGGGUACUGGUGAUGGCGAAGUUUCCGGCAUCCGACUGCCGCUAUCUCAGGACUGCAACCACUUAAAAUAUAGACGAAACUCAUAAACUUGUAAUGAGUUGAAAUCAAUAAAAUGUGUAUAAUGGAGAUGUGAUCGACAAUUCAGAGUGUGAAUCCUCCACUAGCACCUCCAUUGCCCGGUGCACAACCUAAGAGGGUUUUGCUUAAGUCCAAGGGCAUGUCAUCUUAUGAAGACCAAGGCUCUGUGAGCACUACAAUAACAAAUUUGUAUGACCGCCAUUUUAAUGAAGAUUAUUGAGCUGAUGUUGUCAUUCAUAUAGAUGAUGGUGCCGAAUUUAUGCCCAUGCUAAUAUAUUGCUAUAACCCAGAAGAUAUGGAGGACUAUAUUUUGCACCUUCUGGUAUUGUCUCAUGUGUAUGUUGUUCCUCAUUUGAAAAGGGAGUGUGAGGUACAGCCGGAGAACGACUUGCUUAACAUAAAAACAGUGUCGACGUUCUCCAGAUUCCUCUUCUAUGUUAUGCCCCAAGGCUCAGCUCAUUUGUCUCUGGAAUGCGAUGAAAGAGGCUCACCUAAUCCUAGAAAGAGAGUUUCUAGCGACUGUGGCCGAAGCUGAUAGAGGCUGCUGGAGCAAUUGCGGAGGUUUAUUUCUGUGGAUUAUACAGGGCACUAAACAUGUUUAAAGGAGUUUCUGAUGGUAAAGGGAUCAGCAAUUGGUACUUAAGAAUUGGGUGGUAAAGGGUAAAGAACUAUUUUAAAGAGAUCUGCCAUCACUUGAUGAUUCCCGUGCUGAACAGCUUCUGCCAAGAUGUUCGACUUGGAGGAGGUAAUUUGUUUCAGAUGAUUAUAGCUUGUGGUGGUAUUAGAAAGGAGAUUCUAGAUCAUUAUCUCUCUCCUCCGUUCCCUUGAUAUCUGAAUGUUGAAUUUCCUUCCAUCUUGUUUGGGUUUUCAUUGUGGCAUACUGGCAUUUUAACAAGCAGUUGGUGUUCAUGCUGGGGUUGUUAAAUAGAUGUUGAAAAAUUGCUUUGUGGUUAACAAAUUUCGGCCUCACACAUCUGGGAUUUGACUAGGUUUCUGAAUUGUGUACUUUGUUGUUUGAUAUGGGCUUUUCUCGAAUUGUUUUGAGUUAAUGUAGGAUUAAUGGAAAAAUGGUUAAGGAUCUUAUGUAUGAACUUAAGCUGAAAUUUGAUCAUUAUCAUUGAAGCCUAUUGGAAAUCUGGACUAUGCAACUGC